This 254-nucleotide ribosomal RNA is filed under the name uncultured bacterium. Its description in RNAcentral is "partial 16S ribosomal RNA". It matches the Rfam family "Bacterial small subunit ribosomal RNA", at positions 524 to 776 of the family's 1533-position model. The record is from RNAcentral.
UACGUAGGGACCAAGCGUUGUCCGGAUUUACUGGGCGUAAAGGGCGCGUAGGCGGCAAUUCAAGUCAUCUGUGAAAUCUCCGGGCUUAACCCGGAACGGUCAGAUGAUACUGCUUUGCUAGAGUGCGGAAGGGGCAAUCGGAAUUCUUGGUGUAGCGGUGAAAUGCGUAGAUAUCAAGAGGAACACCUGAGGUGAAGACGGGUUGCUGGGCCGACACUGACGCUGACAGCGCGAAAGCCAGGGGAGCAAACGGG